Molecule: ribosomal RNA, 501 nt
Filed under: uncultured bacterium
Lineage: Bacteria
Description: partial 16S ribosomal RNA
Rfam family: Bacterial small subunit ribosomal RNA
Source: RNAcentral
GACGAACGCUGGCGGCGUGCCUAAUACAUGCAAGUCGAGCGGACCGGAUUGGGGCUUGCCUUGAUUCGGUCAGCGGCGGACGGGUGAGUAACACGUGGGCAACCUGCCCGCAAGACCGGGAUAACUCCGGGAAACCGGAGCUAAUACCGGAUAACACCGAAGACCGCAUGGUCUUCGGUUGAAAGGCGGCCUUUGGGCUGUCACUUGCGGAUGGGCCCGCGGCGCAUUAGCUAGUUGGUGAGGUAACGGCUCACCAAGGCGACGAUGCGUAGCCGGCCUGAGAGGGUGACCGGCCACACUGGGACGGAGACACGGCCCAGACGCCUACGAGAGGCAGCAGUAGGGAAUCUUCCGCAAUGGGCGAAAGCCUGACGGAGCGACGCCGCGUGAGCGAAGAAGGCCUUCGGGUCGUAAAGCUCUGUUGUGAGGGACGAAGGAGCGUCGUUCGAAGAGGGCGGCGCGGUGACGGUACCUCACGAGAAAGCCCCGGCUAACUACGUG